UACGGAGGGGGCUAGCGUUGUUCGGAAUUACUGGGCGUAAAGCGCACGUAGGCGGCUUUGUAAGUUAGAGGUGAAAGCCCAGGGCUUAACCCUGGAACUGCCUUUAAGACUGCAUCGCUAGAAUCGUGGAGAGGUGAGUGGAAUUCCGAGUGUAGAGGUGAAAUUCGUAGAUAUUCGGAAGAACACCAGUGGCGAAGGCGACUCACUGGACACGUAUUGACGCUGAGGUGCGAAAGCGUGGGGAGCAAACAGG
RNAcentral lists this ribosomal RNA (253 nucleotides) under uncultured bacterium. RNAcentral's name for it is "partial 16S ribosomal RNA". It matches the Rfam family "Bacterial small subunit ribosomal RNA", at positions 524 to 776 of the family's 1533-position model. The record is from RNAcentral.